UGGUGGAGUGAUUUGUCUGGUUUAUUCCGAUAACGAACGAGACCACGGCGUACUAAAUAGUUGGUUCCAGCGUCUUAGUGGUGAAGGCUAGUGACGUCGCUAUUUCGGUAGUGGCUCACUGGAUGGAUCCUUGGUGCCUGGUACAAGAUACUUCUUAGACGGACUGGUCAUGAAUAAAGUGACCGGAAGCUCGUGGCAAUAACA
Molecule: ribosomal RNA, 204 nt
Filed under: uncultured eukaryote
Lineage: Eukaryota
Description: partial 18S ribosomal RNA
Rfam family: Eukaryotic small subunit ribosomal RNA
Source: RNAcentral